This 447-nucleotide ribosomal RNA is filed under the name uncultured bacterium. Its description in RNAcentral is "bacterial SSU rRNA". It matches the Rfam family "Bacterial small subunit ribosomal RNA", at positions 355 to 825 of the family's 1533-position model. The record is from RNAcentral.
UGGGGAAUAUUGGACAAUGGGCGAAAGCCUGAUCCAGCCAUGCCGCGUGAGUGACGAAGGCCUUAGGGUUGUAAAACUCUUUCGUCGGGGACGAUAAUGACGGUACCCGAAGAAGAAGCUCCGGCUAACUUCGUGCCAGCAGCCGCGGUAAUACGAAGGGAGCUAGCGUUGUUCGGAUUUACUGGGCGUAAAGGGCGCGUAGGCGGUGUGUCAAGUCAGAGGUGAAAUCCCGGAGCUCAACUUCGGAACUGCCUUUGAUACUGGCAAUCUAGAGUCCGGAAGAGGUUAGUGGAAUUCCCAGUGUAGAGGUGAAAUUCGUAGAUAUUGGGAAGAACACCAGUGGCGAAGGCGGCUAACUGGUCCGGUACUGACACUGAGGCACGAAAGUGUGGGGAUCAAACAGGAUUAGAUACCCCAGUAGUCCCUGAGCGGGCUGGCAAGGCGCAU